AUGCUGACCCUGUGGCCCCUGAGCCUCAGUGGCACAGGGCUGCAAUUGGAGUGCCAGGGAAGGCCCCAAAACUUGGUAGCCCCAUCUGCUUGUGCUCUCUGGACCCCAGUGCCUGCCCACCAAGCCCUCCCUGUGCCCUUGGGCUCAGGGGCAGUUCAGCAUCCACGAAUCUGUACUCGUGUCCCAAAGUCACCACCCAGUGCCCCAUUCGGCCCAGCCUGUUGCAGGGGCUCACUAGCUGUGUGGCCCCCCACGCUGUCCCUGCACCCUGGCACUCCAGUGGCAGCACAGUUGCAGCCUACACGCCAGGCUGCACACCAGCACAGCUGUUUGAGGCAGACCCAUUUUUUUCCCCUUUCAACUCAGAGGUAAGUGUCACCCAUUCCAGUGCCUGUUUUUCUCAGGCAUGCACCCUCUUGCCCCUUUGCAUGACUGAGUGCUAGUGCAGGUUUCUUUUAAAUUGUGGUUAAAGAUGCACAAUUUAAAAUUGACCUUUCUGGGUGUGGGUACCAGGGAUUGAGCUCAGGGACACUUGACCACUGAGCCACAUCCCCAGCCCUAUUUUGUAUUUUUUUUUAAUAUUUUUUUUUUUAGAGAGUGAGAGAGAAUUUUUUUUAAUAUUUAUUUUAAAAUAUUGCAGACACAACAUCUUUGUUGGUAUGUGGUGCUGAGGAUCGAACCCUGGGCCGCACACAUGCCAGGCGAGCGCGCUACCGCUUGAGCCACAUCCCCAGCCCCCUAUUUUGUAUUUUAUUUAGAGACAGGGUCUCCCUGAGUUGCUUAGCGCCUCACCAUGGCUGAGGCUGACUUUGAAUUCACUAUCAUCCUGCCUCAGCUUCCCAAGCCAUGGGAUUACAUGUAUGCGCCAUCACACCCAGCUAAAAUUUACUGUUUUAACUUUUUCAAUGAUGGGGAUUGAACCCAGGGUUCCAUGCAUGCUUGGUGCAUGCUGUACCAUUGAGCUACAACCUGGCCCAUAUGAACCAUUUUAAAUGUGCAGUUUUGUAUUAAACACAUUCACACUGUGGCAGCCACCAACAACCAUCUCCAGAACCUUUUUCAUCUUCCCUGAGACUUUGUCUUUCUUACAAUAACUCCCUACUGUCCACUCCCCCUGUCCCUGGCAACCAUCAUUCUAUAUUCUCACUCUAUGAAUUUUACUACUCUAGGGGCCUCAUACAAGGGGAAUCACACGGUAUUUGUUUUUUUCACAACUGCUCUGUCACUUAGUAAAAUAUCCUCAAGUUGCAUCCAUGCUGUAGCACAUAUCAGAAUUUCCCUCCUUAAGACUCAAUAACAUUCCAUUACAUGUGUGUUUGUGUGUGAAUGUGUGUACUGUGUGUGUACAUUGUGCAG
RNAcentral lists this long non-coding RNA (1356 nucleotides) under Ictidomys tridecemlineatus (thirteen-lined ground squirrel). Its description in RNAcentral is "lncRNA (ENSSTOG00000031745.1)". The record is from RNAcentral. Lineage: Eukaryota; Metazoa; Chordata; Mammalia; Rodentia; Sciuridae.